Molecule: ribosomal RNA, 228 nt
Filed under: uncultured bacterium
Lineage: Bacteria
Description: partial 16S ribosomal RNA
Rfam family: Bacterial small subunit ribosomal RNA
Source: RNAcentral
AACGAACGCUGGCGGCGUGCCUAACACAUGCAAGUCGAACGAGAAAGGGGCUUCGGCUCCGAGUAAAGUGGCGCACGGGUGAGUAACACGUAGGUAACCUGCCUCUAAGAUUGGGAUAACAUGUCGAAAGACGUGCUAAUACCGAAUAAGACCACGGCUUCCUCGGAAGCAGGGGUCAAAGAUAGCCUCUACUUGUAAGCUAUCACUUAGAGAUGGGCCUGCGUACCA